Long non-coding RNA from Trematomus bernacchii (emerald rockcod), 737 nucleotides. RefSeq lists it as uncharacterized. The record is from RefSeq and is a predicted model, not a curated record. Lineage: Eukaryota; Metazoa; Chordata; Actinopteri; Perciformes; Nototheniidae. The transcript is spliced from 12 exons.
UUCCUCCUCUCUCCUGUUCAAGAUGGGGAAGAAAGAUCCACAGACUGCUUGCUUGCUGCAAAGGUGUGAGAAGACCGUGGCGAGUCUCUCCUCAUCAGAGUUUCAAGGCCAUACAAGAAUGAAGGCUCUUUCUUUUAAGUUUGCCUGAGCCUUUCUAAUCGGCUGCAAGUGCACUGAGGUCUGAGUUUCUCAAGAUGCUUUGGGCAAGGACGACGCCUGAAGAUCUCAACAUAUGAAUUGACUGAAGGCCUAGAGCUGUGCUGCUGAGUUCAAAGAUGCCUCUUUGCAACAUGAUGCUCACUUCUCAACAACAAAGGUGUUUGCCCAGGUUAACAUCAAUGCUGACCUGGGAACCCAAGUCAUGAGGAUGGCCAACGCUGAUGUGUGACACCAUCUGAUUCAAUCGUGAGUGUGUGUGGGGAUCAGCACCGAUGCAGGACUGCUGCAGGUGUGACACCGUCUGACUUGUGGUGUGUGGGGAACAGAUGCAGGACUGCUCCAGGUGUGACACCGUCUGACUUGUCGUGUGUGUGGGGAACAGAUGCAGGACUGCUCCAGAAACCGGUUGUCAUGAAGAGAGAUCCCAAGCCAUCUUGUUCUGCAACACAAUCCUGCAGUUUGCCAAGCUGUAAUACAGCCUUUCCUGUACAUGUUUGGUGGCCAGUUGACUGCCUCCUGUCUUAAUGUGUAUUUCCAGAUUGCAAUUUAUUAUCAAAUAAAAAAUGGUACGAAAACUA